CGCCUCGGGCGAUCCGAGGUCGGGCCUGCCCGGUGAGUUAUUUAACGGCUGCCGUAAUUGGUGCAAAGGUAGCAAAAUCUAUAGCCCCCUAAUUAGGGGCGUGUGAAUGGUCUGACGUGGGGCCGACUGUCUCGUUUGGGGUCAAUGAAAUUUACCUCUAGGUGAAAAGGCCUAGAUCCGAAGGCUGGACGAGAAGACCCUGGGAGCUUUACCGGAAGGUUUGGUUGGGGCAACCCGGGACACCCGUAUAGCCGGCAGGCGACCCCCCUUGGGGGGGAACAGGCAAAGCUACCCCAGGGAUAACAGCGCUAUCCCUUUUGAGAGUUCACAUCGACGAAGGGGCUUGCGACCUCGAUGUUGAAUUAGGGUACCUCGGGGGCGUAGAGGCUCCCGGAGUUGGUCUGUUCGACCAUUAAAACCCUACA
RNAcentral lists this ribosomal RNA (425 nucleotides) under Mytilimeria nuttalli. Its description in RNAcentral is "partial 16S ribosomal RNA". It matches the Rfam family "Bacterial large subunit ribosomal RNA", at positions 1826 to 2600 of the family's 2925-position model. The record is from RNAcentral. Lineage: Eukaryota; Metazoa; Mollusca; Bivalvia; Lyonsiidae.